This 253-nucleotide ribosomal RNA is filed under the name uncultured bacterium. RNAcentral's name for it is "partial 16S ribosomal RNA". It matches the Rfam family "Bacterial small subunit ribosomal RNA", at positions 524 to 776 of the family's 1533-position model. The record is from RNAcentral.
UACAGAGGUCUCAAGCGUUGUUCGGAUUCAUUGGGCGUAAAGGGUGCGUAGGCGGCGCGGUAAGUCGGAUGUGAAAGCCCCGGGCUCAACCUGGGAAUUGCAUUCGAGACUGAAUAGCUAGGGUGCGGUAGAGGGAAGCGGAAUUUCCGGUGUAGCGGUGAAAUGCGUAGAUAUCGGAAGGAACAUCAGUGGCGAAAGCGGCUUCCUGGACCAGCACCGACGUUCAGGCACGAAAGCGUGGGGAGCAAACAGG